AUUGAACGCUGGCGGCAGGCCUAACACAUGCAAGUCGAGCGGUAGCACAGGAGAGCUUGCUCUCUGGGUGACGAGCGGCGGACGGGUGAGUAAUGUCUGGGAAACUGCCUGAUGGAGGGGGAUAACUACUGGAAACGGUAGCUAAUACCGCAUAACGUCGCAAGACCAAAGAGGGGGACCUUCGGGCCUCUUGCCAUCAGAUGUUCCCAGAUGGGAUUAGCUAGUAGGUGGGGUAACGGCUCACCUAGGCGACGAUCCCUAGCUGGUCUGAGAGGAUGACCAGCCACACUGGAACUGAGACACGGUCCAGACUCCUACGGGAGGCAGCAGUGGGGAAUAUUGCACAAUGGGCGCAAGCCUGAUGCAGCCAUGCCGCGUGUAUGAAGAAGGCCUUCGGGUUGUAAAGUACUUUCAGCGGGGAGGAAGGUGCUGAGGUUAAUAACCUCAGCAAUUGACGUUACCCGCAGAAGAAGCACCGGCUAACUCCGUGCCAGCCGCCGCAGUAA
RNAcentral lists this ribosomal RNA (506 nucleotides) under uncultured bacterium. Its description in RNAcentral is "partial 16S ribosomal RNA". It matches the Rfam family "Bacterial small subunit ribosomal RNA", at positions 30 to 523 of the family's 1533-position model. The record is from RNAcentral.